AUGCCGAUCUUGAGUUGGAACUACCGGGGCCUAGGGCAACGCCGGACAAUUCAGGAGCUCAUGUGCCUAGUGCACACUUUCAAGCCCAAGUUUGUGUUCCUUUCAGAGACGCGGCAAAGCAACUCAUACGUCAAUAAGUUAAGAUGGAGGCUUGGCCUCAAGCAUUGUAUCACGCAGCCCGGCAUUGGCAAAGGUGCGGGUAUUGCGCUAUUUUAUGAUGAGAGUGUCGAAGUAAUAAAGCUUGCCGUUGGAACGAGGUAUAUUGACGUGUUGGUUCGCCUAAACCCAUCUAGCAUGCAAUGGAGGUGUACGUUUGUCUAUGGUGAACCGAGAGCGAGUGAUAGACAUCACAUGUGGGAAUUGCUUAGGAGAGUGAAGAGUAACUCAAGAGCACCUUGGGUGAUGGUGGAAGAUUUUAACGAGGCGAUGUGGCAAUCUAAACAUUUCUCAGCUUCGAAGAGGUCUGAACGGUUGAUGGAAAACUUUUGGGAGGUACUGUCUGAUUGUAACCUGUUUGACUUGGGCUACAAAGGACCUAGCUAG
This 543-nucleotide ribosomal RNA is filed under the name Triticum aestivum (bread wheat). Its description in RNAcentral is "partial small subunit ribosomal RNA". Lineage: Eukaryota; Viridiplantae; Streptophyta; Magnoliopsida; Poales; Poaceae. The record is from RNAcentral.